GCUCCUGCCUCAGCCAGGGGCUUACAUCUACAAAACAGGCUCACUGCCAUAUGAGUUGAAAAGGUGCUAGAUGUGCCUACAAGCAAAGGGUCUGAUCUACCUAACCCUAAACCACACAUGACUGACCAGGAAGAAAUGGGGAGCCACCAGAAUGGAGAUGUGCUCCAGGGGAUGCCCUCAGGAAGAACCACUGCUGACCUAGCACACCUCCUCCACUGCCUCAAUCAAGGGACGAGAUGUCUACCAUCCUAUCCGGGAAAAUUAACAAUAUAAUCAACAAAGGAAAACUCUGGAUUUUUUCAAUAUGAAAUUAAAUGUAUUUACCUACGUUUUACAUUUCCUAAAUGCCAAUGAAUAUUUACAACUGAAAAUGACAUCAGCAGUUAACGGGGUGAAAGCUGAAAAUUAUCUCCUGAACUGGAGGUCAUUAUGACACAGAGAGAACUGAUAAGCAAAUAGAGCUAGUAAAAGCUCCUUGUUUGAAUGUUUUGCUAAAAUGCUCAGGUACUGAAAUUGCUAAUACAAUUGCAGCUGUCAUAAUUAAGUUUCAGAUUUUAGUGUUCUGCUAAGAUGAAAGGUCACUAUUUUCACACCAUCUGCAGACUGAGGGAGACAAGGCAGCAACUCUCUACAGCCCACCUGCAUUUUGAGGCUCAAUAUCCAGCUCCUUGUAGCUGCACCACAAGUAACAGCAGCUCCCUCACAAAGAUAACGACACACAGCUGAAAGCUGCUGAAGGUUCGGAGGUGAAAAGCUCUGAGGGGAAAACCCAUGGUGGCCAGCAUGGAGCUGAGGUCCAGGGCUCUGCUCCUGAGGAAGGAGGGAGAGAAAAAAUGUGCUGGGUAGCUUGUGAACUGCGCUGACAGAAAUGGUGGUCAUGGUACAGUAAUCCAAACUGGGGCUACAAACUACUUUUUCUUUCUUAGAAGGGAGUCUUAAAGAUGAAGCAUGGUUCUGUACCGUGAUGGGAUUCAGCAGUCAGAGCUCCUGAAUACUUAGGAAAUGCUUGGUAUCGUUGCCUCCUUACAAAAUCCCAGUGCAGCAAUGAGUAUACCACUCAUCCACCUGUAAGGGAAGAUCUCUGCACUGUGCAUAACCCUCCCCUCAAGCACCGACAUACAAACUGCACCCCUGUACAGGCAGGGAGGGAGGUUCCUGGCAGGCAGCUUUCCCUGACAGCAGGCGAAGUCGCUCUCCUCGGGCAGGCAGUGCAAUAAUAACCAGGGCUCAGCCCUGUGCCACGCAGCUGGGACUGGGUCAAACCCUUUUUGUGAGAUGUGGGAGCCAGGAAUGCAGCUCUGUCUCCCUUAGCUAAGCUACAUCUUCAGCUAAGGCACGCACAGCAAAACCUUGCCACUGGCAUUGUCCCAAGUGUUUGUGACUGUAGGACAGAUACACAGAGCAAACCUAUGAAAUAAAAAUUAUGCCUGUUUUAUCCUGUUGUGUUUC
Molecule: long non-coding RNA, 1449 nt
Filed under: Anas platyrhynchos platyrhynchos (common mallard)
Lineage: Eukaryota; Metazoa; Chordata; Aves; Anseriformes; Anatidae
Description: lncRNA (ENSAPLG00000024853.1)
Source: RNAcentral